AAAAAGGGCUUCUGCUGUGUUUAGCACAGGAGAGGUGGGGUUUCCACUUCUUCUGCGGAAUCGCUAUCAAGAGAUUUCGGAAGCAUAAUUUUUACACGUAGGGGUGCUGAUGAUCGUCUGUCUCGGCGCCCCC
This is a small nuclear RNA of Amphilophus citrinellus (Midas cichlid), 133 nucleotides long. The record is from Ensembl. Lineage: Eukaryota; Metazoa; Chordata; Actinopteri; Cichliformes; Cichlidae.